RNAcentral lists this ribosomal RNA (301 nucleotides) under uncultured bacterium. Its description in RNAcentral is "partial 16S ribosomal RNA". It matches the Rfam family "Bacterial small subunit ribosomal RNA", at positions 509 to 807 of the family's 1533-position model. The record is from RNAcentral.
CAGCAGCCGCGGUAAUACGAAGGGGGCUAGCGUUGCUCGGAAUGACUGGGCGUAAAGGGCGCGUAGGCGGAUUGUUUAGUUAGGCGUGAAAUUCCUGGGCUUAACCUGGGGACUGCGCUUAAUACAGGCAGUCUAGAGUGAGGAAGAGGGUUGUGGAAUUCCCAGUGUAGAGGUGAAAUUCGUAGAUAUUGGGAAGAACACCAGUGGCGAAGGCGGCUCACUGGACCGACACUGACGCUGAGGCGCGAAAGCGUGGGGAGCAAACAGGAUUAGAUACCCGCGUAGUCCCUGUCUCUUAUAC